RNAcentral lists this ribosomal RNA (643 nucleotides) under Escherichia coli. Its description in RNAcentral is "partial 23S ribosomal RNA". It matches the Rfam family "Bacterial large subunit ribosomal RNA", at positions 419 to 1063 of the family's 2925-position model. Lineage: Bacteria; Pseudomonadati; Pseudomonadota; Gammaproteobacteria; Enterobacterales; Enterobacteriaceae. The record is from RNAcentral.
GGGACACGUGGUAUCCUGUCUGAAUAUGGGGGGACCAUCCUCCAAGGCUAAAUACUCCUGACUGACCGAUAGUGAACCAGUACCGUGAGGGAAAGGCGAAAAGAACCCCGGCGAGGGGAGUGAAAAAGAACCUGAAACCGUGUACGUACAAGCAGUGGGAGCCUCUUAAUGGGGUGACUGCGUACCUUUUGUAUAAUGGGUCAGCGACUUAUAUUCUGUAGCAAGGUUAACCGAAUAGGGGAGCCGAAGGGAAACCGAGUCUUAACUGGGCGUUAAGUUGCAGGGUAUAGACCCGAAACCCGGUGAUCUAGCCAUGGGCAGGUUGAAGGUUGGGUAACACUAACUGGAGGACCGAACCGACUAAUGUUGAAAAAUUAGCGGAUGACUUGUGGCUGGGGGUGAAAGGCCAAUCAAACCGGGAGAUAGCUGGUUCUCCCCGAAAGCUAUUUAGGUAGCGCCUCGUGAAUUCAUCUCCGGGGGUAGAGCACUGUUUCGGCAAGGGGGUCAUCCCGACUUACCAACCCGAUGCAAACUGCGAAUACCGGAGAAUGUUAUCACGGGAGACACACGGCGGGUGCUAACGUCCGUCGUGAAGAGGGAAACAACCCAGACCGCCAGCUAAGGUCCCAAAGUCAUGGUUAAG